Egretta garzetta (little egret) is the source of this 2327-nucleotide long non-coding RNA. RefSeq lists it as uncharacterized. The transcript has 3 exons. Lineage: Eukaryota; Metazoa; Chordata; Aves; Pelecaniformes; Ardeidae. The record is from RefSeq and is a predicted model, not a curated record.
CGUGAACUUCCCGCAGGCAGCGGGUUGUGACCCCAGUCCCAGCGGAAAAAACGAAUCCCUGCCCACCAGCGUUUGGUCUUCCCACCAGCAAUUCGUAGAAGUGAAAGUGAAGCGCACAGCUCCCCCAGGCAGCACAAAAUGCCGUCCUCAUGGGGAUCUAAAGCUUUGCACAGAAAUCAGGCAGGCUUCAGAUGCCCUUGACAUACUAAGAAGCUUAAUCCUAAUUAACACUCCCUCCCGGUGUGAGGGUGAUGCAAGUUCCAAGAAUCAUGGCGAGCACCUCGGCUGAGCCGUGAAAAGCUGGAGGCGACUGGACUACUCUCCUAACACAGGAGACACCGAUAAUUGAAAAAAGCCCCAAGGCAGCCCAAGCCCCAAGGCCUCGACGUGGAUAUUUGCCACUACCAGAGUGCUGCAGUGCUGAUGCAUUAACUCGGGAACACAGAUUUAAUUUGAUGUCUCCAGGUCUUUGUCUUCUGAUCCAGAGGAAGCGAGAAUAUCUUUCCACUUCCGUCAAGAAUUUGCACCAACCGAAAGCCUUCGUGGAGCUCAAUAGAUUGCAAGGCCCUUGUCCAACCGGUAUCAUUCUGCCAAGCAGGCUGGGAACGUACACUACCAAAGUAACAAGAAGUUAAUUUGAUGCUGAAUUCCCCGCUGGCAAAUGACCAGUAGCCAGGUACUAGACAGUUCAGACCUACCCACCACAGCUGCCGACUGAUCCAGGCACGAGGAGGUGGAAAAAUCUGACCCAGUUAUUUCACAGGAACAUUUGUACCAGUUUUAGCUUCUUGGAACAGUUUCUCAAAGAAAACCAGCUGCAGUGUUUUCUCCUGAACAAGUCUCUAGUUGUCUGCGUGCUGCCAGCGCACGGUCCCGCUUCAACUGAAACAUGUACCAACUGCCGCUGUCUAGGAUCGGGCUUCUCACCCAGAUAUGACUAAGCCCUUUCAAAACAAGAAAUCCUCAGGAUUCCUUGCUUAAUUGCUAAAACAGAUUAAUUUGACUAUCCAGAACAUAACUGAGCGGAAGAGAGGAAUUGACACACCUAGCUGGUUCCUGCUCAGGCUGAUGAUUCACUUUAACUGAUGGGGGACAUUUGUUGUUGAUAUUUCCACCAAAUAGCUGCAGUAAGGCUGCAGGGCUCCCCUCCCAUCUGCCGGGAGGACAAAGGGCAGCAUUCCCUGCAGCCUCGUGUCCAGCGCUUUGGGAGCUGAUGCCGUCUUAAAACAAGAACGUAACUGAUGCCAACCAGCAAGCGUAACCUUCAAAGCUUGAGUUUUAGCGGCCAUGCAUCAUAUCAAGGGCCCGUGCCUUCCCCACACCGAGUGCCCCCAAGGAUUAAGGACUGCAUCUUCACCAAAAAGCUCGCUUGCCCCUGAGGUUUAGCGAAUAAAUCAGUUCAAAACUCCCGCCAGUUUUGAUAGCUCCAGUCACACACACGUGACACUCAGGAAGUCGGUAGUGGAGCCAAAAAAUCAGGGUGGCUGAGCCCAGUCGCACGGUGCUGAGCAACCCCCCCAUGCUACUCCAAUGGUUUUAUUAGAGCCUUAUCAGAUUUCCUGGUGACUCAGACUACUCCAGUGACCCAGGUGAAGGGCAGGGUGGUAGAAACACACACGGAUGGGGUUACAGCACCAUGUUCCUCCAAAAUACCUGCCGAUGCCCACCAGGCCCGUCCCCCUGGAAAUCAUCGCUCUGCAAAUCCCACCUGGAAGUCAUCGAUCUGCAAAUCCCACCGCCCCAGAGCUCUCCCCAUGGCACUGCCUCCACACUGAGGCUCAGCAGACCAUGGCUGUCCCUCUCCGAGCGGCAAACACGGAGGAGGCAGGUGGCUGCUCCGCUCUCCCCAAUGGCCCAGGGUGCUUGCCGGCCCCACGAGCCCCAGCUGCCACCCUGCCGGGUGCCUGGGCCAUGCAUGCAGUCUCCCUGCCACCCCACACUGCUGGGCUCGGUGUAGCGCUGUGUCACCCUGCUGCACCCCUCCAGCAGCGGGCACCUGUGCCAGGCCAGUCCGCAGAUCCCGUUUCCCUCCUUUUGCCCCCCCGUGCCCUUGCAUUAGGGCCCCUUGCACCCCCUUCGUCUCUGUGCACCCCUCCUUGCAUUUCCACACUCCCCGUGCCUCUUUGCAUUAGCACCCUCUGCCUCCAUGCACGUCCUCUUUGCAUCGCACCCCUGGGUCUCCUUGCACCCCGCCUUGCACUGCACCUCCCCUGAGGCUCACACCCUCCUCCAUUGCUUGCCUCUCCUCUCUGCACCCCUUUUUCACUUGGAAACCCCCUUGCCGUAACACCCUCCCGUUCCUCUGCUCCCCCCUUUGCACUGGCACC